UAUUAUCUUGGUUAUCGUUGAGUUGUUAGCGACUUCCGUCGUUCCGUUCACCCGCAUUUGCCGUUUGAAGUUUCGACCCUACCAACAGUGAGAUCUUGUCGGAGAGUACCAGCAUUCCCUUUGUCGGCAUCCACUACCGACGUUCGGAAGUUUUAAAAAAAGGGCACUGUGAAUGUUGAAUCGAUUAGACUCGACUUUUUACAUUGCGUCUUAUAUGGCUAAAAUAUGCCCAGUUUCAAUUUCAUGCAAUUCGGUUCACAAAUGGUCGAGAUGUCAUAAGGGCCUCCCUGCAAAGAUUCAUCGUAAUCGGUCCAUUUGUUUUCCAGAUAUCGUGCAAACGGACCGACAGACGGACGGACAGACACCGCAAAAUUAUGAACUCGCUAGGAGCUCGUUAAUAAUGGCUGAUACUCGACUGCAUAUUGUUGUAACAGAAAUAAAGCUGAUGAUUAUUGUGACGGAAUGAAAUUACUCUGAUGUACAUGGUGGGGCUAAGGCCCUUCGGAUCAUAAUUGCUUCACGUAAUUUGUUUAGUAUACUUUAUAUUGAAAAAAUAAAAUGUUUGAUUGACCUUCGUCAAAUGUCGUAUUUUUAAAAAAGACUGAAAAUGAGGCAGCUCAGAUUCUGGGGGCAUAUACACAGGAGGAGUAAAGAUCAUAUAUUGCAAGUCGCCAAGAAUCUACACGCCGCGGUAUGGAAGGUAGGGCGGCCCUGCUUCACAUGGAACACCACCAUAGACCAAGCGAUUGAGGCCUCGGGGAUACCCAGGGAACGAUGGGUAGAGUGGAGUAGAGAUAAACAACAAAUGAAGACCGAAAGCAGACGAAUGCUUGAAGUGGAGGAAGAAUCCGAUAUAAGUACAAGCAGCCAGGAAGAAGACGCAGAUGAGACAGAAAGCAAUACAGGGGAAAGACAACAAUAAGAAGGGAAAAGCAGCGUAGGAGCGAAGAAGCGAGAGGAACGCCGGGAGGAGGGGCAGUAGAUUGAAAGCUGAGUUCCCACUAAGGCAGUAUACCAGUGGCGAAGCUGUGGCCGUACCCCUUUGGGUCGGAAAGAAAAAAAAAACCAGUUAGCCGCCCCCCUCACAGCCCCCCCAAUCCCCAAAAUCCACCACAUUGUUUGGCAUAUGUCGCGGCCCAGCGCAAUGGCAACAAAGUUGUGGAGAUGUACCCCAGCUGUUAGACUCUACCAGGGAUACAUCCCCACGACAGCUGACUUAAUUCUGGGAGAGGCGGAACCGCCAGGCAUAUGUCAAAGUAUCAAGUAUCAAUUGAAAUGGCAAUUCCCUAAACAAAUUGUAGUUCUGGAUAUCCGAAACUACAAACUUUCCACUAGCACAAAAAACCACAUACCUAUUCAAUUAUAUGUGAUAGUGGAAGAGGUCUUAGUCUGUGCCUCAAUUCAAAACUUAGCCGCCGCCGGAGCGAUUUAGUUUCUCUAAAAAAAAUUCGUCGAUUGGUCAAAUUUUGAGGAAAAACGGGUUAUAAAACAGCGAAAUCGUUAAAAUUAAGGGCAUAAUUAAUACGUUACAUAAAAAAUACGUAAUUUUCAAGUACGUUCCCAUUCUGCAAUUAAAUGUGGGGCGUUCCAUUAAAAAAAAAAGUAAGUUUGAUACGCCACUGAUGGAAUACAGCACGCCACAGGUGAUUAGAAAUAUUCCAUAAAUUUGAGGAAUUAUCCGUUAAGUACUGGUAUACACUUGCCUCUCGUUUUCAAUGAGUCAAGCUUUCUUAUGCAAAUUCUCUUUAGUUUAGAUUAACAGAACCGGAAUUUUCUUGAAAUUUCUCAAUCCGUCUAUUUUGCGGGGGGUACAGCUAGAGCUACAGGUAAAGUAUUCUGUAGUAUUUCUAUUUAGAAAGAAGGAUUGAAGGAUCCCACGCUUUGAUCUCAAUGCACGAUAACCGAAGUGCAAUACGAUUUACAGCUGUGUGAAUUCUAAAUAGGAUGUAAGCAAGCAGUUAUUUAGAUAUAAUUUUCAAGGAAGGGCUUUUUCCCAAACGUGUAGUAGGUACUAUCAAAAGCCUGUGGUCCUGCGUUUUAACAUUGAAUAAAAACGCUAUUUGGUUUUCAUUUUGCAAUCAAGUUCAGACAAGCUUUGUAUAAACUUCGCACACAUGUUACCGGUUCCUAGUGUCUUCGAGCGUAUGUCUGAAUUGAUUAACAAAUCAAUGGCGCAAUCAAGGCCGCACGUACUCCUGAUUCCAAGUAGGCGAUUAUAAUAUAAUCUUUCUUGUGGUUUAGCGAAUUUUGUAUAAGAUACACCCCCUUUAAUUUAAUUAAUUUCUUAUUUACCUAUUUAUUAAUCAUUAAUGCGACUUUGGUUAAAGUAGGUAAAGCAUGACAUUCAAAUCUGGCAACACUACCCAAGGCCAAAGGUUAUAGUUAUAGCAUUGAAUAUAAACACAGUUAUAGGAGCGAGAAUUGAGAAACGCAUUUGGUCGUUUCUGUUUGUCAGUACCUUGCAAGUGCAAACGCGGCAAUGCUUUCUUCUCAUUUCACGUGAGGUGUGAAUACUGAAUAGAACGAGACAGAUGAGCUUCUGUAGCUUAACGCUAUAACGUCAAUCCGCUUAUACUGCUGUUUUGCAAUUGAGGCAGAGCGUUGAGUGGGAUUUAUCACUCAACGGGCAGAGGCAAGCAUUCGUCUCGCCCCGCAUCCGUGUGCAAGCUUUCUUUCAAUUCUUUCAUUGUUAACUAUUUACAUUUAGCAAUUAGCACAGUGUGGUCUGGCAAGUACUUAUGAUUGUUUAACGUUUAACCCCUGAUUGAAUUGAAUAUACGGUUUAAGUAUUUUAAGUGUCUGAUUUGAUAGUGCCCGUUAUCUGCCACAGUAAGAUGUACAAACCUACAAGUCGUUCAGCAAAGCAUAUAUCAAUUAAACGUAAACUAGCAUCUCUGAAGCAUGUACGCUAUGCAACAGAUCAAAAAAAGAAUAUGGAAACCUACGCUUGUACCUCGACUUCCUCGACAACUGUGUUAAAAUCUAAUGGGGAUGCUAAACAAACAAACAUUAAUAACAAACAUAUGUUCGGUACUAACAUACCCAAUUCUUUUGAUUCACAUGAUGAAUCUGUGCAUGAAAUUGAACAUCUACAACUUAACAUCUCUAGUAAUUCAAGUUCGAACAGCAAUAGUGUUUGCGACAUUGAUAACCAAAAUUUACCUAGUGACUGUAAUACACAUAUGGUUCCUUCAAUAACUACUUUACCAGAAGAACUGAAGUUUUGGUCGAUAACAGAAAAAGUUACUCAUAAACAAUUAAAUUCUUUAUUACGGAUUUUAAAAAAAUACCAUAGCGGCUUACCUUUAUGUUCAAAAACAUUAUUAAACACUAGUGAUAAUUAUGAAGUAAAAAAUAUGGCAUCCUUACGAAACACUACUGGCGAAUUUGUGUAUUUUGGAGUACACAAUUUUUUAACUAAUUUCCUUGAUAAAUUUCACCAAAUUUACCUACAGCAUGAUGAAAAAAUUGUUUACUUGCUCAUAAAUAUUGAUGGAAUACCAAUUCAAAAAAGUACUUCUAAUCAACUUUGGCCAAUCUUAGCAUCAGUUAUAUCGCCAGACUUUAAAAGUACUCCGUGGCCAAUUGCCAUAUUUUAUGGUGACAGUAAACCGUUUUCAAUAGGGGAAUUUUUGGCACAAUUCAUUAUUGAAAUGAAACACUUGACUAUUCAUGGUCUUUUACAUAAUAACACUCAGUAUUCCAUUAAAAUUAAAUCAUUUAUUUGUGAUGCUCCUGCAAGAGCUUUUAUUAAAUGCAUUAAAAGCCAUAACAGUUAUUAUGGUUGUGAACGGUGCACAAUUAGAGGUGUUUAUUUAGACAACAAAGUGGUAUUUCCUGAUUUAAAUUGUGACUUAAGAACGCACAUCUCUUUUAUAAAUAGACAUAAUAAAGAACACCAUGUUAGCACAUCUCCUUUAGUACAAUUAGAUAUUGAUCUUAUUAACGAUGUAACUUUGGAUUACAUGCAUAUGGCUUGUUUAGGGGUGAUGAAAAGACUUCUUAAUUUAUGGAUUAAAAUUCGAAGUGCAAACAGCUUAUCGCGCUGUAAAAUAAUUUUAAUUAGUAAUCUACUACAUUCUGUCAGAAAUUAUAUUCCUGUUGAAUUCCAAAGAAAACCAAGAACCUUGAAUGAGCUUGACCGUUGGAAAGCAACAGAAUUUAGAUUUUUUAUGUUGUACAUUGGACCAAUUGUUUUAAACAAUUUUUUACCUAAAAAACUGUAUAAGAAUUUCCUAUAUUAUCACUGUGCCAUACGAAUAAUAUGUUCAAAAAAGCUACUGGAAGAGUAUGGAUGUGUUGCUAUUGAUUGCAUAAAAUUUUUUUUUUGUGGUGUUAAAAAAAUUUACGGUGAACAAGAAACUUCAUAUAAUAUGCAUUCUAUUUAUCAUUUGGUACAUGAUGCAGUUACAGCAAAUAUUCCAGUUGAUCAAAUUAGUUGCUUCGUUUUUGAGUCAUUUUUAGGAAAACUUAAACACUUAAUUCGCACCCCUAAUAAACCACUAUCCCAAAUUUGUAGAAGAUUGUCUGAAAAUUUUCCAACUAUUUCGUUGUAUCGCCAAAGCAAUAACAUCAUUAAUAUAAAAAAAAUAAAUUAGGUUUUAUAAACUUUAUUGAAUACGACAAUUUUUGUAUUAAAGCUGAUACUAGUGCAGAUUCAUAUAUAUGGUUAAAGAACAAUAAAGUAAUGCAUGUAGCAAAAAUUGAAGAAAUUGGAACAGAAUUAUUUUUUUUUGGUCAUGUUUUUCAAUCAUAUAGUAAUUUAUAUUCCAUAUAUUCAAUUACUUCCUCAAAAUUAUACACAUCCGUGGUAUCAGAUAAAAGCUCUUUUCUUUUUAAAAUAAAUGCCAAAGACUUUUUUUCCAAAUGUGUGGUUUUUAUUGUUGAAAAUAAUAUGGUUGCAGUUGCAAUGUUGCAUCACACAAAUUAAUAUACGUAUUAUUAGUAGGCACAGUGAUUUUACACUUCACCUGAAAUUAUACAUGUAUAAUAGUUAAAAUAACUAAAUCAAACAGCGAAAUUUAUUUACUUGCAUCAUAUAAGCACUUUGAUUUGGUACUUGAGUAUAGUAGGUAACUUACUAAACGCAAAUCAUAAAUGUAACUUGCUUUAGUUUUAGAUUAGGUAAGCACUGUAUUGUAUCGUAAAAAAUAAUUUUGGCACUUUCAAGUUUUCAACAUCACUAAUAAUGUGGGAUGUUAUUAUUUGGACAACUGAAAAUACGACUGAUGUUGUGCCGUCAUCCUGGGUUGUCGAUUCCGCUGUUCGAAAUAAGUAUAUGUACCCAAAGCAAAUUAAAUCCAGCAAAUUAAAAAAAAUUAUUAAAAACUGUGAGGAACCAUCCACCAAAUAUGUAUACACUGAGUUGGAUGCAGUUUUCAAAAAGACCGUCAACUCCUACGCAGAAGGUGAGAAAAUGUUACACACGCUGGAAAACACUUCUUCCCUUGACACUGACGGUACUCGAUCAUGUAUAGACAAAAGCCCAUCGCCGUGCAGUAGUGUUCAUGCACCACCAGGAGAUGGUUUUCGAGAGUCAUUGCUGCCAAUUCUAGACAAAAUAAAUGGGAAUUAUAAAUUAAUUUUAGAAGAAAUAGCUAAAAUCUCUAUAGAAUUAAAGGACCUAAGAAAUGGUCAAAAUCAUCUCCGAAUGAAGUUGUCUAAUGUUUACGAAAAACAAAGUAUACCAGAAUGGCCUCUACCGCUACCUAUAAAAACUGACGCCGACUUUAUAGACGCAGAGAAUUUGUUGCCGGAAAAACAUGACGCUCUGGUGAAAAUAAUUUCACUGGUAGGAGGGAAUUCUCUAAGACAGACAAUCUCCUUCAUGAUAAAGAGAUUGAUAUCCAAAGAUAUCGCUCUCCAAUACUCGACGAAAGGACGGAAAGGGAAAAAAAAUUUUUCGCAAACAAGGUUCUAUAACAUCAUUAUAAGUGCUGCAAGAGGUGUUUACGAGAAUGCAACUGAUUUAGCUAUAUCACAAAUGAUCGGAUUUGCAUUGGCUUCAGCUUCCGAUUGGGAGGGAGGCAACAGAAGGAAGCUGAAGCCUGUGGGAGAGGAAAGCAAGCCUGUGGGAGAGGAAAGCAGUGCAGACGGGGUUGUCGCAGAAAAUGAGGAUCAACAGGUGGAACCUAUCGAAUUAAAUUGACACAAGAAUCACAAUGUACAUGUUCUAGUUCUUAAUGGUGUUUAUGUUCAUGAUUUUUAAAUUGAAUUUGGUUUUUUAGUAUGUACUUAUAUAGUAUUUGUAAGUAGAUUUGUUUAUUAGUUUUUUUUUUAAAUAUAAUGCAGUUGGGUUUAAA
RNA transcript from Photinus pyralis (common eastern firefly), 6302 nucleotides. RefSeq lists it as uncharacterized. The record is from RefSeq and is a predicted model, not a curated record. NCBI's taxonomy places the organism in Eukaryota, Metazoa, Arthropoda, Insecta, Coleoptera, Lampyridae. The transcript has 6 exons.